UAUCUCUUUCUUUGCAUAGGGAAGUUGACUAAACAAGAGGGCUCUUUGGAGCACUGAUAUGCAGCAAGUCAGCUUGGGUCUCUCCAGACAGAGAAAAGUAACAUAAAACAAAACUAUUCAAAAAGAACAUGAAGUGAAGUGCUGGUGGCCAGAAGAAAGACAUCUGAGUACAACCACCAUGGGUUACUGACAGACCAAAAUAUCCUGACAACUCCCGAAUGCCGGAAGGAGAGAAUGGGUUUAUACAUCUGAGGACCUUGACUAUUCUGCUCUUCUGGAACAUUAAGCUCUUCCCCCAUCAAGAGGUGGUGUCUGCGUCUGUUCUCCUUGAAUUUGUGUGGCUCUUCCUGACUGCUUCAACCAAGAGACUCCAGUAGGAAUGAUACUAUAUAAUUUCUGAGGCUAGAUCAUCAGAAUGCCAUGUACUUUAAUUUUAUUCUUUGAGGGUCGCUGGCUCCUGGAACCCAGCCACCAUACUGUGAUGAAGCCUACACAACUGUGGAGAGGCUCACAUGGAGAGGAAUCAGUGCCUACUGAUCUACAGCCCUGGCUGAGCUCUCAGCCAACAGUCACGAUCAACUUCCAGCCAUAUUGAACCAUCUUGAAAGAGGCUCCCCCAGCACCAAGUUAAGCAGUGUGAUUACGUUGCCAAAGAUCACCUCUUUCCUAUCAUCUUUCUUCUGAGACUUGUUUAGAGUAAACUUGGAAGCUGUGUUUUGCUCACUCUGAAGAUUGAAUAUAAGAAAAUUUGCUUAAGUUUGGAUGAUGCAGCUGCUGAAGUAAUCUGUGAUGCACUUUCCUUCAGGAAUCCUUAUCUAUUUGUUCAGGUGUUCCACAAGUCUUCUUAUCUUGGAAUCCAAGAAUACUCAUUGUGUGGUUGCUUAUUGUUUCCCAGACACCCUGAUGCUUUGAGGCUUUGUCUCAUGCUUUCAAGUAAUGUUCUCAUGUUCACCUGCUGAUAUUCCUUCAAGGGUGCAGGCUGUAUCUCUCCAAGUGUGGAAUCAAACAAUCAGAUAAGAUGUUGUGUAACAAUUCAUAUUAAAAACGUGAUCUUGUCAGUCAAGAAGAAGAGAUGAAAACAAACACCUUGAGAGUUCAUGAGUAGAAGUAUAUAGCCCUGCAUUUAUGAUAAUAUGGUGCAGUUUAUCCAUACACAGCAAUGUAACUGCUUAAAAUGCUCCUGAAAUUCAGGCAAAAUAAAUUAUAAAUAUUAUUAAGAUCAAAGAAGGUAAGAGUCCCUUAUGUUUGAUAUAGGCCAAGCCAAAGUUUGAUGUAUAUGCUCAUCUCUUAGCUCUGCAAGUCUAUGAAGAAACCAUCAGAAAGCAUGCUGAAAAUAGAAUGAGAUUCCAUUCAAAACAGAAAGCUCCUGUCUGUUUUAGAGAAGGUGACCAGAUCCUUUAUCAGAAAUUUGGUAUAUUUCAGAGGUACAAAUGUUCUUUUAGGUCUUUUGAAGCACUGGAUUUAAUAUCAGAGUUUAGUCUUGGCUCCAAUCUCCAAUUCUUUGCAUAGUCAUUCUAGCAAUCUUAGGGACCAAGUCUUCCAUUAGCAUAGUGAUCUUCAUGCCUCAAGUGUGAGGUAUAAAUAUUCUCCUCAUUGACAAGGAACCAGAGAUAAUAUUUCAUAGGCAAAAUACUCAGGUAUGCAAAAAUGUAAGUUUUCAGUUAAAGUUUUUUGUACUGAAAUUAUCUUAGCUCAUUAGCUCUCACUUCUGCCUGGUAGCAGGUAAUGUGAUUUUGCUAUUCCAAGUUGACCCAUUAUUUCUAUUUUCAAGUUUAGUUUAUUUUAGAUAAAUUUUUAAAUUCAUAAUGUUUUUUUGACCUUUUAUAUUCUCUUCCAAAAAAGGUUAUUCUAACUUCCUAAUGGGUUUACUUUGAUAGCAGUUGUUGUUAUGUGUAUAUAUGUAUAUAUAUUUUCAAAAAUCAACUUUAUUGGUUUAUAACUCACAAAAAAUAAAAUUCAUUCUUUUAAAGUGUAUAUUUUUUCAAUUUCUACACAAAUAGCCUGCCAGAAUUUUGAUUAGAAUGAUGUUGAAUGUAGAUCAAUUGUGAGAGAAUUGUCAUUAACAGUAUUGAGUCUUCCAAUCCAUGGACAUGAUGUAUCUCUCAAUUUACUUAGACUUUUAAUUUCUUUCAGCAUUGCAUUGAAAUUUUAGGUUUAGCGGUCUUGUACAUAUUUUAUUAAGUUUGUCCUAACAGUUUUAUAUUUUGAGAUGAUAGUAUAAAUGGUAUUGUAUUUUAAAUUUUAGUUUUCAAUUGUUUC
Molecule: long non-coding RNA, 2259 nt
Organism: Callithrix jacchus (white-tufted-ear marmoset)
Lineage: Eukaryota; Metazoa; Chordata; Mammalia; Primates; Cebidae
Source: RefSeq, a predicted model, not a curated record